GUCCUUUAGAGUAUGAUUUAAGGUCGGGCCUGCCCAAUGAAUUUUAAAUGGCCGCAGUAUAUUGACUGUGCAAAGGUAGCAUGAUCAUUAGUUUUUUAAUUGGAAGCUGGUAUGAAUGGUUUAAUGAGAAAUUGACUGUCUCUUAUUAAUUGAAUUGAAUUUUAUUUUUAAGUGAAAAAGCUUAAAUUUUGGUUAAAGACGAGAAGACCCUAUAGAGUUUUACUUUAUUAAAAGAAUUUUUGACAUAGGUUUAAGUUAAUUUUUUGUUAUUUAAAGUUUUAUUGGGGUGAUAGAAAAAUUUAAUUAACUUUUUUAUUUUAAAUACAUUUAUUUAUGAUUAAUUGAUCCUAAUAAUAGAUUAUUAGAUUAAAUUACC
This 376-nucleotide ribosomal RNA is filed under the name Fulvius constanti. RNAcentral's name for it is "partial 16S ribosomal RNA". Lineage: Eukaryota; Metazoa; Arthropoda; Insecta; Hemiptera; Miridae. The record is from RNAcentral.